UCCUACGGGGGGCAGCAGUGAGGAAUAUUGGUCAAUGGGCGGGAGCCUGAACCAGCCAAGCCGCGUGAGGGAAGAAGGUACAGCGUAUCGUAAACCUCUUUUGUCAGGGAACAAAGGCGGGGACUAGUCCCCGGAUGAGGGUACCUGAAGAAAAAGCAUCGGCUAACUCCGUGCCAGCAGCCGCGGUAAUACGGAGGAUGCGAGCGUUAUCCGGAUUUAUUGGGUUUAAAGGGUGCGCAGGCGGCCUGUUAAGUCAGCGGUCAAAGCCCGGGGCUCAACCCCGGUCCGCCGUUGAAACUGGCAGU
This 305-nucleotide ribosomal RNA is filed under the name uncultured bacterium. RNAcentral describes it as "bacterial SSU rRNA". It matches the Rfam family "Bacterial small subunit ribosomal RNA", at positions 337 to 640 of the family's 1533-position model. The record is from RNAcentral.